GUUAUGCUUGGCCUAGUGCAUGCGGAGGUGAUGUGGCUCGUCACCAAAGACACGCGUGCGGGCCUUUGUUACAAACUCUAUGUGCAUUAGAUUUCGCUCGGGAUACAACUAUAAGGCGAGGAUGACAAUCACAGAAACCUUGUGUUACGAUGAAGAGAUGAUUCAAGAGGGAAGCCAAACUGGCCGAGGAAAGCAUGCAAGCUUCUUGCCAGGACGCCACUAGGACGUCCUGUUGUUGCACCUCUACUUAGAGCAGGAGGAUGGCUAGCCCUGUUUGUUUGCUGCAGCGCAAAGAUAUUGGUCUAUGGCCCUCACUGCCCAGGGUCACUGUCGAUGACUCCGUUGCCGGCAGCCGCGACAUUCAUGAUGUUUCUGGAGAGGACGCCACUGCCAGUGUCGUGCUCCUCGGCCAUGUUCUUCCUCGACCAGGUUAAGAUUCCAUGGUUGGUUCUUUGAAUAGAGGCAU
Molecule: long non-coding RNA, 466 nt
Organism: Lolium rigidum
Lineage: Eukaryota; Viridiplantae; Streptophyta; Magnoliopsida; Poales; Poaceae
Exons: 3
Source: RefSeq, a predicted model, not a curated record